AUGUUGAGAAAAGUAAAAAAUAUAGGCGAGAUUUUAAAAGAGGCACAAAGGGAGAUUUCUGUAAAAGGUUUUCAGACAGUGGGCUAUUAUGGAUGGGGGAUCUACAAAAAAAAAAAUCCUCCUCCCAAACCUGAGAUCUGGAUUACAGAUGAACGUCCUGUUGAGAACAUUUCCCCAAAGCCUACAAUUUUCCUUCCUUCAAUUGCUGAAAGAAAACUCCAUAAGACUGGAACAUAUCUUUGUCUUCUUGAGGAUUUUUUCCCUGGUGUUAUCGAGAUAUAUUGGAAAGAAAAGAAUGGCAAAACAAUCCUGGAAUCCCAGCAGGGAAACACCAUGAAAACUAAGGACACAUAUAUGACAUACACCUGGCUGACCGUGAGUGAAGAGUCAAUGGGUAAAGAACACAAAUGUGUUGUCAAACAUGAUAGUAAUAAAGGAGGGGUUGAUCAAGAGAUUCUUUUUCCUUCAAUAGACAAAGAUUUGGUGUCGGUGAUGGGAUCUGAAAUGGACUUCCAGGGGCGAUCAGAGACAAGGAGACAGCCAGGGGAGGUAACUGUGAGCCCCUUGAGUUCACUGUCCUCCUCAUCAUUUUCAAGGGCUGUAGAGCUCACUGCUGUUAACUCUACAGAAGCUUCUUUGAAAGACGAAAAUGACCCCCUGCAGCUGCAGCUCGUGAACACCUCUGCCUACUGCACCUACCUCCUCCUCCUCAUCAAGAGCAUGGUCUACACUGUCAUCACCGCCAUCUGUCUGCUUGGGAGAGCGGCACUCUGUGACAAUGGGAAGAGUUCCUGACCCGUGGUGGCACAGGGUCCAUGUUUCUCCAUUGACUGUUGUCACUAAAAGUGUCUGCUGUGGGUCUAGCGGGGCUUUCUUUCUGGGUGGUUCAUUUCAGUUCACACGUUGUCUUUUUCUAUGUGUCAUCAUUGCAGAAUGGGUUUGCAAACUCCUGGGCAAACAGGAAAUGUUACUCUGCACCAAGAACAGACUCUGCCAUGAGUCAGGGGCGGGGCCGGGGGGCACCCACGGGGGCUUCAGCACCGCUCUCUCCUUCUUGCCCACCAGCUGGUCAGCCACCCAGCACCCUCGCCUCUGAGUACACUUGGCGUGCAGCUUCCAUAGCGUCCCCUGGGGCUCUGUAUGCAGAUAACUGCCUGGAGGCCUUUUGUUUUACAUUUCUGGAAGCUGCCAUCUUUGCUACCUGAGUUUUGUUCUGUUGUUCAUAACAGGCAUAAUAAAAAUAAUCAAAAGUGUA
This is a non-coding RNA of Acinonyx jubatus (cheetah), 1255 nucleotides long. NCBI's taxonomy places the organism in Eukaryota, Metazoa, Chordata, Mammalia, Carnivora, Felidae. The record is from the annotation of a RefSeq genome assembly.